This 250-nucleotide unclassified non-coding RNA is filed under the name plant metagenome. RNAcentral describes it as "partial contains small subunit ribosomal RNA, internal transcribed spacer 1, and 5.8S ribosomal RNA". The record is from RNAcentral.
GUAGGUGAACCUGCGGAAGGAUCAUUACCGAGUUAGGGUCGCCUUCCAGGUGCCCGACCUCCCAACCCUUUGUCUAAGAUACCUCAGUUGCUUCGGUGGGCCGGGCGCGACCAACUGGCUUCGUGACCGGUGGCCGGGGGAUACCCCGGCGGCAGAGCGCCCACCGACGGCCUCCACAAAACUCUUGAUACCUAAACCUGUCGUCUGAAUUUACUUGAUAUUAAUCAAAAACAAAACUUUCAACAACGGA